RNAcentral lists this long non-coding RNA (2425 nucleotides) under Homo sapiens (human). Its description in RNAcentral is "HSALNT0408493". Lineage: Eukaryota; Metazoa; Chordata; Mammalia; Primates; Hominidae. The record is from RNAcentral.
CCGAGAUGCUGAUCCGCCAUGUGCGGGGCGCUGUUGGCGUUUUUUCCUCAGCAAAGGGCGGAGGGAGUGGACGUGGGGGAAGGGCAGGUGGGCAUUUCUGGAGCAAUACUGCCAUCAAGAGGAACUGGCUUGGCAAUCCCGGCACCCUUGUGUGUCGCCUGGGGAGAGUGGCUUGGGACUGUCUGGGGGACCAGGCAGGACUAGGGCAGGUGCUCGGACGGAUCCGAGGUCUCUGGAGGUCCGAGAGAAGCAGGCUCCGCCGCGGGGUCGGGCGGUGGAAGCCCCAGAGAGAGGCGCCAGGACUAGCUGGACAGCCAGGACGCCGGGCCGUUCCCGGACAGGAAGCCAUGGCUCGGGAGCCUGGUGGCGGCCAUGAUCUGGGCGGGACCAGCGGAGGCCUCCGCCAGGGAGCCUGGGCUCGGGGCCUUGGGCAGUUUGCCUGGUGCCCCUUCCCGUGGGAGCAACCGGGGUGACGGCCUAGCUGGGUCCUCGGCCCGGGAGGCUCCGUCGGCCACACUGCACGCCUGCGGUGUGAGGAGGGCCGACUGCCAGUGCUGAGUUCCGUGGCCAUUGGGCCGGUGCCCGCCGCUGCUGGCCGCGCGCCGGGGCGUUCCUCCUUGCGUCCUAGGGAGGAAGGUGGGCCGCGGGGCAUCCCGCGGGGCCCGUACCCAGACGGUUCUUGACGAGGUGGACGCAAGGCCAGGCCCGGCCCGGCCCGGCCACCCUCAGACGCCGCGCACCCGCCUUGUUGAGACUUGCCACCCUGUCUUGUUGUGUCCAUGUCCCCGAGGUUGUCUUGGAGGCGGGCCGUUCCCCGUGGUGCUCAUUUCUGCCUGGGGGCCUUCCGGGGACCCCGCUUGUCUUUGGGGGUGCGCAGGCCCUUGCCCUGCGAUCAGAGGCGCACCGACCGAUGAGUUCGGUGGCAAAGCUUGAGAAAUGGAGACUCUCUGGGCAUCGGCUAAGGGGGCCCGGGGCCUUCCCAGGCCUGCUGGAGUCCGGGAAGCCGGGGGCACCCAGAAGGAAGGACCCGUCGGACUCUGCCUGGGGACAGCCUGCUCCGCGCCAGAAGGGUCCGCUGCUCAGGCAGCAUCCCCGUGCCUCUCCUCCAGUGGGUCCCUCAGGUAGAAUCGGGGCAGGCCCCACUGGACGUGCAGGGAGGAGGCUCGGAGGAUGCAUCCUUUGCAGGACCCGGUCUGGUACAGCAGCAGACGGAGCCAUCUCCCGGGGCUUUCUGGCUUCUCCGAGGGUGUUCAGGAGUCUCCCAAGUGCGCAGGGGCUCGUGCCCAAAGGGUGGAGGUCGGCACCGCUUCGCUCAAUUCAGGAGUGGAGAAGGAAGCUAGAGGACCCUCUGGAGGUGGCAGGUUUAAUGUCCUGCUUUUUUAUUUAUUUAUUUAUUUAUUUAUUUAUUUAUUUAUUUAUUUUGUAAUCAACUGAAAGAAGGCAGAAGGAGUCGAUGGGCCUCUUAGGCCGGAAACCUUACAAGCAUAGGACCAAGGCAGAAAAGGUCCAGAGGGUUCAUGGUCCUCCGUUCCACCUGAAUCCAGCUAGAGAGCGAGCCAGGGGGAUAGGUGUGCCCCUCGUCGCCCGUGCGCUGAGGCACUGUCACGCAAAGAGACAUUCACCUUCCACGUCAACGCACCUUUAAGGGCGAGAGCGGUCCGCCGUGCCCAAGAGGAACGGGAUGACAUUCAACUGGGACUUGCCUCACCUUGGCUUGGGGGACCUCGAGAGCGGUCCCGUGGGGGCGGUGUUACUCGUGGUGGUAGAAGUGGAGGGCGUGUCCGGGUACUUGAGUUCAUGGGCAUCUCUCCCGCCGCCUCUCAGCCUAUCUGCACCAUGUCUCACACGUUCAGUUGCAGCUCUUACCGUUUUGAAGGCGCACGUGGGCAAGAAGUCCUGGGCAGCACAAGAAAGUCAAUCACGUUGAGACAGAGAGAGCAGGAGAGGAAGUGGGCCCCAGUAGAAGUGGGCGAGAGAGCGUUGGGUGGGAACGUGGCACGAGAGAGAGAAAUUAUGAGAUUGAGAGAGAGAGAGAGAGAGAGAGAGAGAGAGAGAAAGAGAAAGAGAGAGAGAAAGAGAAAGAGACAGAGAAAAGAAACUAUGUUGUUUAAAAUGCCAGCGGAAAGUCCAUGGGGGUGAAAGAGUCCGGCAAUGGCCAGGGAGUUAGCAGCUUGGCGUAGUGUCUUCCCACUGUUUUGUCUGUCUUGAGAAUAGCAUUCAACGCGACUGUGUUCCCGCAGCAGACGUUAGGCCGCUGCCCACGCCUUGAGUGCCGGACGAGGUCAACAUAGGCUUUCCGUCACAGAAUAUGUUUGGGCAGGAAGAUCGGAACACUUGGGGCUGGGCCAUCUACCGCUCCCCCACGGCACACACGAGUCGUCAGGGAAAUGCCCGCCUCUGUGUGUGUUGUACGUGCAGCCUUCUG